CCCUGGUUAGCUCAGUUGGUAGAGCGCUCCUCCUCCAAUGGAGAGGUCCCGGGUUCGAUACCCGGACCAGGCG
RNAcentral lists this transfer RNA (73 nucleotides) under Ixodes scapularis (black-legged tick). RNAcentral describes it as "tRNA-Gly". It matches the Rfam family "tRNA". From Rfam's summary of the family: Transfer RNA (tRNA) molecules are approximately 80 nucleotides in length. Their secondary structure includes four short double-helical elements and three loops (D, anti-codon, and T loops). Further hydrogen bonds mediate the characteristic L-shaped molecular structure. tRNAs have two regions of fundamental functional importance: the anti-codon, which is responsible for specific mRNA codon recognition, and the 3' end, to which the tRNAs corresponding amino acid is attached (by aminoacyl-tRNA synthetases). tRNAs cope with the degeneracy of the genetic code in two manners: having more than one tRNA (with a specific anti-codon) for a particular amino acid; and 'wobble' base-pairing, i.e. permitting non-standard base-pairing at the 3rd anti-codon position. Lineage: Eukaryota; Metazoa; Arthropoda; Arachnida; Ixodida; Ixodidae. The record is from RNAcentral.